This 460-nucleotide ribosomal RNA is filed under the name uncultured bacterium. RNAcentral's name for it is "partial 16S ribosomal RNA". It matches the Rfam family "Bacterial small subunit ribosomal RNA", at positions 338 to 795 of the family's 1533-position model. The record is from RNAcentral.
CCUACGGGUGGCAGCAGUGAGGAAUAUUGGUCACUGGACGAGAGUCUGAACCAGCCAAGUAGCUUGAAGGAUGACUGCCCUAUGGGUUGUCAACUUCUUUUAUAUGGGAAUAAAAUGUUCCACGUGUGGGAUUUUGUAUGUACCAUAUGAAUAAGGAUCGGCUAACUCCGUGCCAGCCGCCGCGGUAAUACGGAGGAUCCGAGCGUUAUCCGGAUUUAUUGGGUUUAAAGGGAGCGUAGGUGGAUUGUUAAGUCAGUUGUGAAAGUUUGCGGCGCAACCGUAAAAUUGCAGUUGAAACUGGAAGUCUGGAGUACAGUAGAGGUGGGCGGAAUUCGUGGGGUAGCGGUGAAAUGCUUAGAUAUCACGAAGAACUCCGAUUGCGAAGGCAGCUCACUGGACUGCAACUGACACUGAGGCUCGAAAGUGUGGGUAUCAAACAGGAUUAGAUACCCCUGUAGUC